GAUGAACGCUGGCGGCGUGCCUAAUACAUGCAAGUCGAGCGAACAGACGAGGAGCUUGCUCCUCUGACGUUAGCGGCGGACGGGUGAGUAACACGUGGAUAACCUACCUAUAAGACUGGGAUAACUUCGGGAAACCGGAGCUAAUACCGGAUAAUAUAUUGAACCGCAUGGUUCAAUAGUGAAAGACGGUUUUGCUGUCACUUAUAGAUGGAUCCGCGCCGCAUUAGCUAGUUGGUAAGGUAACGGCUUACCAAGGCAACGAUGCGUAGCCGACCUGAGAGGGUGAUGGGCCAGACUGGAACUGAGACACGGUACAGGCGCAUACGGGAGGCAGCAGUAGGGAAUCUUCGGCAAUGGGCGAAAGCCUGAAGGAGCAACGCAGCGGGAGUGAUGAAGGUCUUCGGAUCGUAAAACUCUGUUAUUAGGGAAGAACAAAUGUGUAAGUAACUAUGCAAGUCUUGACGGUACCUAAUCAGAAAGCAACGGCUAACUACGUG
RNAcentral lists this ribosomal RNA (497 nucleotides) under uncultured bacterium. RNAcentral's name for it is "partial 16S ribosomal RNA". It matches the Rfam family "Bacterial small subunit ribosomal RNA", at positions 28 to 507 of the family's 1533-position model. The record is from RNAcentral.